AUGGCCUACUUCGAUGAGAAAGCGAAGGAAGAUCCAGAUUUCUUCUACAGGAUAAGGUUGGACGAUGAGGACCAUGUCAGGAACAUGUAUUGGGUGGAUGGUGCUGCAAGGAGAGCCUACAAACAUUUCCGAGAUUGCAUUUCAUUCGACGCAACAUAUCUAACUAAUAUGUACAAGAUGCCAUGCGCUCCGUUCAUAGGAAUAAAUAACCACAAUCAGUCGUUGCAGUUCGGCUGCGGGCUCAUUCUGAACGAAGACACAGAUGGGUACGUUUGGCUGUUCAAGACCUUCUUGGAGUGCAUGGAUGGACUUGCUUCGAUGAACAUAAUAAUAGACCAGGAUUUCAGCAUGCGUGCAGGCAUAGAGGAGGUAUUUCCGUUGGUAGUGCACAGGCACUGCAGGUGGCACAUUAUAAAGAAGGCUGAAGAGACGCUAGGACCGUUCUUUGCUGACCGUCUAGAGCUCCAUAAGGCGUUCGAGCUGUGUGUGGACCACAGCUUGACGGUGGAGAAGUUUGAAAGGAGCUGGAUGGCCAUGAUUGAAAUAUAUCAAGUCCAAGACAACGAGACGCUUGCUAACAUGUGGGAGAAGCGAAUGUACUGGGUGCCGGCCUACUUCAUGCAGUGCUUCUUCCCCUUUCUGUAG
This 645-nucleotide ribosomal RNA is filed under the name Triticum aestivum (bread wheat). RNAcentral describes it as "partial small subunit ribosomal RNA". Lineage: Eukaryota; Viridiplantae; Streptophyta; Magnoliopsida; Poales; Poaceae. The record is from RNAcentral.